CGCGGGGUGGAGCAGCUGGUAGCUCGUCGGGCUCAUAAUCCGAAGGUUGGGGGUUCGAGUCCCCCCUCCGCAACCA
RNAcentral lists this transfer RNA (76 nucleotides) under Clostridia bacterium. RNAcentral's name for it is "tRNA-Met". It matches the Rfam family "tRNA". Rfam says of the family: Transfer RNA (tRNA) molecules are approximately 80 nucleotides in length. Their secondary structure includes four short double-helical elements and three loops (D, anti-codon, and T loops). The record is from RNAcentral. Lineage: Bacteria; Bacillati; Bacillota; Clostridia.